Phrynosoma platyrhinos (Desert horned lizard) is the source of this 72-nucleotide non-coding RNA. Lineage: Eukaryota; Metazoa; Chordata; Lepidosauria; Squamata; Phrynosomatidae. The record is from the annotation of a GenBank genome assembly.
CAUGGUGUGGCAUAGUGGUUAGAGUGUUGGACUACGACUCUGCAGACCAGGCAUCGAGUCCCAGCUCCACCA